GAUGAACGCUGGCGGCGUGCCUAAUACAUGCAAGUCGAGCGAAUGGAUUAAGAGCUUGCUCUUAUGAAGUUAGCGGCGGACGGGUGAGUAACACGUGGGUAACCUGCCCAUAAGACUGGGAUAACUCCGGGAAACCGGGGCUAAUACCGGAUAAUAUUUUGAACUGCAUGGUUCAAAAUUGAAAGGCGGCUUCGGCUGUCACUUAUGGAUGGACCCGCGUCGCAUUAGCUAGUUGGUGAGGUAACGGCUCACCAAGGCAACGAUGCGUAGCCGACCGGAGGGGGGGAUCGGCCACAGUGGGACUGAGACACGGCCCGGACUCCUACGGGAGGCAGCAGUAGGGAAUCUUCCGCAAUGGACGAAAGUCUGACGGAGCAACGCCGCGUGAGUGAUGAAGGCUUUCGGGUCGUGAAACUCUGUUGUUAGGGAAGAACAAGUGCUAGUUGAAUAAGCUGGCACCUUGACGGUACCUAACCAGAAAGCCACGGCUAACUACGUGCCAGCCGCCGCAGUAA
This 515-nucleotide ribosomal RNA is filed under the name uncultured bacterium. Its description in RNAcentral is "partial 16S ribosomal RNA". It matches the Rfam family "Bacterial small subunit ribosomal RNA", at positions 28 to 523 of the family's 1533-position model. The record is from RNAcentral.